AUUCACAGAGUUAGAAGCCCUGAAUUUUCAUAGGAUUUAUUUUGUACCUUCUGACAUGCAGGUAUUUUACCAGUAAGUUUAGAGUAGUUGUUACUUCUUGCUAACUAUGUCCAAUCAGCAAAAUGUCAGCGAUGUAAAGAACCAGUAUGACGUCUUGUGGAAGGGAAAGGUGGUCAAGUUACCUAUGACUAAAUUAUAACAUAGAGCUGGAGAGUGGAUUCACCCCUGAGAAAGGGCAGUAAAGGUGUACUUCUGGCCUUUCCAGUUGAAACAGAAUUUCUUCUGGUGUUCUCUACUAACAGGUCAAGAGAAGAAUGCAUUUGCCAGACCAAUAGCUGCAUAUCAAGUGCCAGAGGAUGUGGUAAAUUGCUCAAGCAAUGAAACCGGUUCUGGUACCGGAGCUGCAAUUGGCAUCACCACCUGGGGAAAGCCUUCAGUGUUUCACCAUUAAUUAAACUUCAUAUGGAGCCUGCAGAGCCAAGACAAUCCUAAGGAAAAACAAACAAACAAACAAGAAAAAAAACUAACGGAACA
Molecule: long non-coding RNA, 534 nt
Filed under: Callithrix jacchus (white-tufted-ear marmoset)
Lineage: Eukaryota; Metazoa; Chordata; Mammalia; Primates; Cebidae
Description: lncRNA (ENSCJAG00000059148.2)
Source: RNAcentral